This 329-nucleotide ribosomal RNA is filed under the name uncultured eukaryote. RNAcentral describes it as "partial 18S ribosomal RNA". It matches the Rfam family "Eukaryotic small subunit ribosomal RNA", at positions 1470 to 1796 of the family's 1831-position model. The record is from RNAcentral.
CCCUUAGAUGUCCUGGGCCGCACGCGCGCUACACUGAGUGUCUGAGAUACGAGUCUGCCUGGUCCGGCAAGGUCUAGGUAAUCGCUAAAAGACACAUCAUGCUUGGGAUAGAUUAUUGCAAAUAUUAAUCUUGAACGAGGAAUUCCUAGUAAGCGCAAGUCAACAGAUUGCGUUGAUUACGUCCCUGCCCUUUGUACACACCGCCCGUCGCUACUACUGAUUGGAUGUUUAAGCGAGGUUCUCGAACUGCUAGCGACUUAGCUUCGGUGAGGUCGCAGUGUGGGAAGUGAACCUAGCUUUGGUGUCUAGAGGAAGUAAAAGUCGUAACA